Sander lucioperca (pikeperch) is the source of this 162-nucleotide long non-coding RNA. RefSeq lists it as uncharacterized. The record is from RefSeq and is a predicted model, not a curated record. Lineage: Eukaryota; Metazoa; Chordata; Actinopteri; Perciformes; Percidae. The transcript has 3 exons.
CGCCUAGCCCUAACAGAAAGCUACGCUGGCCCGACUCAACACAUACUGUAUAUAAAGCAUCAGGUCUACUUUGUUGCCUGGUUUCCUACGGAGUCCAAUCAAUGAUGGUGCAUCCCAGGACCAAUAAAGCACUCACUAUAACAUGAAAGACAGACAGAUAUG